This 537-nucleotide ribosomal RNA is filed under the name uncultured bacterium. Its description in RNAcentral is "bacterial SSU rRNA". It matches the Rfam family "Bacterial small subunit ribosomal RNA", at positions 777 to 1313 of the family's 1533-position model. The record is from RNAcentral.
AAUAGAUACCCCGGUAGUCCACGCCCUAAACGAUGUCUACUAGUUGUUGGUGGAGUAAAUCCAUUAGUAACGCAGCUAACGCGUGAAGUAGACCGCCUGGGGAGUACGGUCGCAAGAUUAAAACUCAAAGGAAUUGACGGGGGCCCGCACAAGCGGUGGAUUAUGUGGAUUAAUUCGAUGCAACGCGAAAAACCUUACCUGGCCUUGACAUGCCACUAACGAAGCAGAGAUGCAUUAGGUGCCCGAAAGGGAAAGUGGACACAGGUGCUGCAUGGCUGUCGUCAGUUCGUGUCGUGAGAUGUUGGGUUAAGUCCCGCAACGAGCGCAACCCUUGCCAAUAAUUGCCAUCAUUCAGUUGGGCACUUUAUUGGGACUGCCGGUGACAAACCGGAGGAAGUGGGGAUGACGUCAAGUCCUCAUGGCCCUUAUGGCCAGGGCUUCACACGUAAUACAAUGGUCGGUACAGAGGGUAGCCAAGCCGCGAGGUGGAGCCAAUCCCAGAAAGCCGAUCGUAGUCCGGAUUGCAGUCUGCUAACG